ACUCUAUGAGUACAACAGUACCUUUGACUUCCAAUCAAAUAGCUCUUAGCGAAAAUCUAAGAUAGAGUA
RNAcentral lists this transfer RNA (69 nucleotides) under Paracentrotus lividus (common urchin). Lineage: Eukaryota; Metazoa; Echinodermata; Echinoidea; Camarodonta; Echinidae. The record is from Rfam by way of RNAcentral.